This 616-nucleotide ribosomal RNA is filed under the name Scathophaga obscura. RNAcentral describes it as "partial 12S ribosomal RNA". The record is from RNAcentral. Lineage: Eukaryota; Metazoa; Arthropoda; Insecta; Diptera; Scathophagidae.
AAAUUAUUUCAAUUUUCUUUCACAAUACUAUUACACUAUAAUUAAAAUUAUUUUUUCUUUAUUAAAUACUAAAACAAAUCUUUAUAUAAUUAUUUUUAAUAAUUUAAAAUUUAAAAAUAUAAACUUAAUAAAUAAAAUAUAAUCAAUUUAUAUUGAUUUGCACAAAAAUCUUUUCAAUGUAAAUGAAAUGCUUUACUUAAUAAGCUUUAAAUUGCAUUCUAGGUACACUUUCCAGUACAUCUACUAUGUUACGACUUAUCUUACCUUAAUAGUAAGAGUGACGGGCGAUGUGUGCAUAUUUUAGAGCUAAAAUCAAAUUAUUAAUCUUUAUAAUUUUACUAUCAAAUCCACCUUCAAUAAAUAUUUCAAAUUUAUAUUCGUAUAAAUAAAUUUAUUGUAACCCAUUUCUACUUAAAUAUAAGCUACACCUUGAUCUGAUAUAUUUUCAUUUAAAAAAUUUUGAAAAUUAACAUUCUUAUAAAAUAUUCUAAUAACGACGGUAUAUAAACUGAUUACAAACUUAAGUAAGGUCCAUCGUGGAUUAUCGAUUAUAAAACAGGUUCCUCUGAAUAGACUAAAAUACCGCCAAAUUUUUUAAGUUUCAAGAACAUAACUA